CACGCCGUAAACUAUGGGUGCUAGGUGUCGCGGGCUUUGACCCCUGCGGUGCCGUAGCCAACGCAUUAAGCACCCCGCCUGGGGAGUACGGCCGCAAGGCUAAAACUCAAAGGAAUUGACGGGGGCCCGCACAAGCGGUGGAGCAUGUGGUUUAAUUCGACGCAACGCGAAGAACCUUACCUGGGCUAGAAAACGGGAGAACCUGGUUGAAAAAUCGGGGUGCCCUUCGGGGAAUUCUCGGUUAGGUGC
RNAcentral lists this ribosomal RNA (249 nucleotides) under uncultured Sorangiineae bacterium. Its description in RNAcentral is "partial 16S ribosomal RNA". It matches the Rfam family "Bacterial small subunit ribosomal RNA", at positions 796 to 1041 of the family's 1533-position model. Lineage: Bacteria; Pseudomonadati; Myxococcota; Myxococcia; Myxococcales. The record is from RNAcentral.